UCAGAAGUUAGUUUAAUAAAAAUAUAAGUUUUGGAUAUUUAUGAUAGGAUAAGUUUUACUUUUGAU
This 66-nucleotide transfer RNA is filed under the name Polyascus gregaria. RNAcentral describes it as "tRNA-Pro". Lineage: Eukaryota; Metazoa; Arthropoda; Thecostraca; Sacculinidae. The record is from RNAcentral.